Non-coding RNA from Macaca mulatta (Rhesus monkey), 1076 nucleotides. Lineage: Eukaryota; Metazoa; Chordata; Mammalia; Primates; Cercopithecidae. The record is from RefSeq and is a predicted model, not a curated record.
UAUGUACGUAUAUAUAUAUUGUUGGUUCAUUAACAUUGACGUUACGGCCAACAGCAUUUCAACUCAUACUUCAGAGGGUGGAGGUUUGUGGAGAGGAGUGUUUUCCUGGAGAGCUCUCAGCAUAGAUACACUUGUGUGGACCUAAAGUUGCCCAAGCUAGGAGGGCCAGCCCAUCCCGGUCUGCCCUGGGUUGAGGGCUUUCCCAGGAGAGUGAACCUUCAGUGCUAAAGCCAGAUAGGGACAGCUGUUCACCCUACCUGCCUCCCUACAUCUGUCCAUGGGUUCUGCAUCUCCCCUUUGGAGUGGCACAAAACAAAGAUGAUCCACUCUUUCCCAACUCUGAGUGAAGACACAUCUGAGUGAGUGAAGACACAUCUUGGGUCCACUUCUUAGGCUCAACAUCCUCAAUUUCUUGGACCUCCUUCGUAUUGUGUGAGGUGGCAGAGGCUGCUGACUGAUCGCCAGGCUCCUCUUCUCUUCUUCUGCACUUUCCAGCCUCUCUUGCAGAGCAUGUUUCAGGCAUACUUGUUCAACUAGUCACUCAGCCUCAACAGCCUCCAGGCUGUUUCAUCAUUUUAUCUGUGAGGAUUUCAAAGGAAACCAGGAGCCGAGUGCCCAGAAAGAAAAGAAGACUGGAAUCAGAGAGCAUUCAAGUUCAAGGGCCCAGAGGCACAGUAGCCCCGAAGCCUCAAGGACUUUCUACCAAAACUCACAGGUACAACCUUGAAAACACAAGAAAAGAAAACAAGAACUUGCCUUCUUGGGCAAGGGGAGUUGAAAGAGGCUGGGCCCAGAACUCCAGAGAUGAAAUGGGAGCAGCUGCAGCCUGGCUGUUACUCCAAGUAUGUCAUGCUGAGAAGUAAUGGGAGUGUGUGCUCAUCACUGUCUGUGGUGUGGACUUAGGACGUGCCCCCUGGAAGCAUCGAUUCUGCCCCCUGAAUUGCUUGCUGAGGGUGUGCUCUGCAGAGGGGCUGCCCACCCAGCCUCUUUAUGUUGACCCACUUUCCUGCUUUAUGCAAAGUAAUUGGCCAAGCAUUGUACAAAAGAAGGAUAAUUAAUCCACUGGCUUAACCCUU